GCUCCAGCCCCCACAAGGUGGGGCAGUGGCAUAUAUACAGAACUUCAUUCUCCCAUCCUGGACUGCAUUGUGAAGGCUGCAGAAGAGAUGGCAAGAUGAAAGCUUUGCUAUUUGCAUUGUUGGUGGUGGCAUUUGUGUGCAAGGACCCAGUAAAGAGUCUGAAAUGUUACGAGACUGACCCAUUUAGAAAAAAAACAUGUUCGGAAACAGAUAGAUUCUGUUUUAUUCUGCAGACUAUUCUUGGAGCGCCCCGGCGUAAAGGAUGUGCUCCAGUGUGCGUUGUAGGGGGCUAUGUGGUGGAGAUUUCGUGUUGCAAAACUGACUUUUGCAAUGUUUAAAAUGUUGUUUGGGGUUUUGCUGCCAUCCAUCAUGGACCAUCCUGGCAGAUUUAAGCUUGUGGCCUUUACGGUCCAUAAUGCACCCCCUCAGCUUCUUUGGACACAUCGUCCUCUCUCCUUUUUCUCCUGGUCUGCAAGACUUGUUCUGCUCUCUCUGUAGCUUGGCAACUGAAUAAAUUUGUGCAUUUACAUUCAA
Molecule: long non-coding RNA, 534 nt
Organism: Crotalus tigris (Tiger rattlesnake)
Lineage: Eukaryota; Metazoa; Chordata; Lepidosauria; Squamata; Viperidae
Exons: 3
Source: RefSeq, a predicted model, not a curated record